AGCAGCCGCGGUAAUUCCAGCUCCAAUAGCGUAUAUUAAAGUUGUUGCAGUUAAAAGCUCGUAGUUGAAUUUCGGAAUCAUCAGGUUGGUCGUGCCUCUGGUAUGUACUGAUUUCGAUGGUUCCUCCUUCUUGAAGAUCCGUAAUGCCAUUAAUUUGGUGUUGCGGGGAACCAGGACUGUUACUUUGAAAAAUUGAGUGUUUAAAGCAGGCAAUCGCUUGAAUACAUUAGCAUGGAAUAAUGAAAUAGGACUUCGAUCCUAUUUUGUUGGUUUCUAGGAUUGACGUAAUGAUUAAUAGGGAUAGUUGGGGGCAUUAGUAUUCAAUUGUCAGAGGUGAAAUUCUUGGAUUUAUUGAAGACUAACUACUGCGAAAGCAUUUGCCAAGGA
RNAcentral lists this ribosomal RNA (387 nucleotides) under uncultured Glomeromycotina. Its description in RNAcentral is "SSU rRNA". It matches the Rfam family "Eukaryotic small subunit ribosomal RNA", at positions 569 to 964 of the family's 1831-position model. Lineage: Eukaryota; Fungi; Glomeromycota. The record is from RNAcentral.